UAGAUGAUGCUCGAACCCAGUCAGUCGGUCAAAUAGUAUGGAAUGGAGAAAAUGGAAUGGUAUCAAACACGUGGUGUGGUUGAUACCAUUCCAUUGACUCCAGUUAUAUGUCUGUCAUAUGAGGUGUCUAGCUAUAAGUUAAACCUUAUCAAUCAAAUGGAUAGGUGUAAGCAAUUAUGGUCAUUCCAAACUAGGUGUCUUCGCUAGACAGACACAGAGAGAGAGGGGGGAGAGGAAGAAAGAAAGGAUAAAAUUGAGAGAGGGUAGAGAGAGGUGGGAAGAGAGUGGAAGACAGAGAGAGAGAUGAAGAGAGAGAAAGAGAGAACGAAUGGCAGCAGUACAAAUGUACUUAGACUAGAGUAUAUCUCUUCCAACUUGUUAGGCAAAUACAUGUACCUACUGGGGAAGGAUGGCCAGCCAUAUAGGAAGGUGAUUUUUGCUAAGGAGAAAGAGGCUGUACUGACCAAGAAGCAUUCUGGCCAUUUCGGAAUGAAGAGCAUGAUUGCCAAAAUCAACCUACGCUUCUUCUGACGGGGAAUUGUCAAGGAGGUGGACAGCUGGGAAAGUGAAAUAACCUUUUGUUUAUCAAUCACAUUCUAUUAUAUCUGAAAUUAUUAUGAUUUCAAUAAAUGUCAUAUCAGAGAGCCCCAAUGUUUCAAUUUGUCACUUAUUGCUUGAAGGUCAGUACCCUGUCUAGCCUGCCAGAGGUUUGAGAAGGCGAAGAAUGUGGCGCCAGAGUAGAAGCCCUAUCAAAGUUGUUUCACCUUGGCACAUGAUCGGGGUGGACCUCAUCGGACCCUUCACGAAAUCCAGGAAUGGCAACAGCUGGUGUCUGACGGCGACCGAUCACUUUACCAAGUGGGUGGAGGCAAUACCCAUUAAGGACGAGACUGGCCACCUCCAAGGCUAUGAUGGACAUCUUCAACACCCACGGCUCUCCUGAGGUCAUCAUGAGUGACCUAGGUCAUGAAUUCUGGAACAAGGUUUGAUGAAUGGACCAACCAGACUUUCAAGACUGCCUUGAUUGGUAUCAGGAAGGGUGAGAGAACAACCUGAAGGUAAUUCUCUUUGCACACAACAACAGCAUCCAGGCAUCCACCGAGUAUGGACAGGAGCCGCAGCUGUUGACUGAGAUCACUGAACCACCACCUGAUGUGGUGGAAGUUGUCGAACCACAUCAGAACGCCUUCGAGGACCACCUUUAGGCACGGACUGAGAAGGAUGUGGAUGUUUUUGACCAGAUAAGACUGAACCUCGAAAGGCACAGGAGAAACAGAAGGAGAGCUAUCGGAGCAGAAUCAAAGAGACCAACUGCUAUGACAUUUGGGCGAAUUACUUGGUCUGGAAGAAGGACAAAAGGAAGGCAAGACCUGGAAAACCUCGCUGCUCUUUCGCUCCUAGCUGGGGUCACCAUCUUUUAAGGUUUACCUCGGUGGAAGCCAACAAUCUUCUACAGUUGGAGGAGUUUGAUGGUCGACCACUGAAAGCACUGACGCCAUACACUUCGGACCAUCGACUGUCCAAGCCCCUCGAGGAGGUAUCCCAUUCACCAGAACCAGUGAGUUUGGAUCAGUCUGAUUCUCUGUGCUUGGAGUCGGAGGGGGACCAGCUUGAGGACCUAGGGGUUCUGCCCAACACCCAGACAUGGCUGCCUGUGGAGAACAAGUGACAGGCAGAACCUCCCACCCACACAGCAACCACCUCCUCAAUAUUCCCCAAACCAGAAUUCAGUAUUUUAGUCUAUGAUUGCCAAUGUGAGUGUGAAAAAAAAUCUGAAAAUAAAUUAAUGACCCAAUUGUACAAAAAAAUA
Salmo salar (Atlantic salmon) is the source of this 1810-nucleotide non-coding RNA. The record is from RefSeq and is a predicted model, not a curated record. NCBI's taxonomy places the organism in Eukaryota, Metazoa, Chordata, Actinopteri, Salmoniformes, Salmonidae.